RNAcentral lists this ribosomal RNA (253 nucleotides) under uncultured bacterium. RNAcentral's name for it is "partial 16S ribosomal RNA". It matches the Rfam family "Bacterial small subunit ribosomal RNA", at positions 524 to 776 of the family's 1533-position model. The record is from RNAcentral.
UACGUAGGGUGCGAGCGUUAAUCGGAAUUACUGGGCGUAAAGCGUGCGCAGGCGGUUUUGUAAGACAGGUGUGAAAUCCCCGGGCUCAACCUGGGAAUGGCAUUUGGGACUGCAAGGCUGGAGUGCGGCAGAGGAGACUGGAAUUCCUGGUGUAGCAGUGAAAUGCGUAGAUAUCAGGAGGAACACCGAUGGCGAAGGCAGGUCUCUGGGCUGACACUGACGCUCAUGCACGAAAGCGUGGGGAGCAAACAGG